GAGAGCCGUGUGAUGGGUGACUAUCCAGCACGGUUCGGAGAGCACUUUUAGUCUUUGUUGGUGAAUGGAAGCCCCCCUAUCAAGCAAAAAAUAAGCGGCUCUUUCUACGGCGGGGUCACUAUUGACUCUAU
Non-coding RNA from Arabidopsis thaliana (thale cress), 131 nucleotides. The record is from Rfam. NCBI's taxonomy places the organism in Eukaryota, Viridiplantae, Streptophyta, Magnoliopsida, Brassicales, Brassicaceae.